UGCCGCCCUGAAGGGCGUGUGGUGGAUGCCUCGGCAGACAGUCCCGAUGAAGGAUGUUUGAGGCUGCGAUAAGCCUCGGGGAGCCUCCAACAUGGCUUCGAUCCGAGGAUUUCCGAAUGGGGCAACCCGCCGGCCGUCAUGGGCCGGCACGGGACCUUUGGGUUCCGGGGGUACGCAGGGAAGUGAAACAUCUCAGUACCUGCAGGAAGGGAUACUCCGUGAGUAGUGGCGAGCGAAAGCGGAUCAGACCAAACCAUGGGCGCGUGAUACCCGUCGGGGGUUGCGUUCGUGGUGUUGCGGGAGCGUGUGUCCCGGUUCCGACGGACCGGGCGGGAGUCAUAAAACGGCUUGCCAGGGGAACAGGCUUGAAGGCCUGGCCGCAGAGGGUGCCAGCCCCGUACCUGGAAGCUUGCCGUCUUCCGAUCAUGUGUCCCAAGUAGCGCGGGCCUCGUGGAAUCCCGUGUGAAUCGGCCCCGACCGUGGGGUAAGUCUAAGCAUACCUGUCUGACCGAUAGCGUACCAGUACCGUGAGGGAAAGGUGAAAAGCACCCCGGGAGGGGAGUGAAACAGUACCUGAAACCGUGCGCCCACGAGCAGUCGGAGCACCUAUACGGUGUGACGGCGUGCCUUUUGUAGAAUGAGCCAGCGAGUCGCUGGCGCGGGGCGAGGUUAACCGAAAGGGAGCCGGAGCGAAAGCGAGCCUUAACAGGGCGACUUGAGUCCCGCGCCGCGGACGCGAAGCCGGGUGAGCUAUCCGUGGGCAGGCUGAAGCGGGGGUAAGACCCCGUGGAGGGCCGAACGCACGUCGGUUGAAAACGGCGGCGAUGACCUGCGGAUAGGGGUGAAAGGCCAAUCAAACCCGGAGAUAUCUCGUUCUCCCCGAAAUAGCUUUAGGGCUAGCGUCGCGCGUUCACCGCCGGAGGUAGAGCACCGGAUGGACGAGGGGGCUUCGCCGCCUACCGAAUCCAACCGAACUCCGAAUGCCGGCGGCCCAGAGCGCGGCAGUCAGAGCAUGUGGGCUAAGCUGUGUGCUCGAGAGGGAAACAGCCCGGACCGCCCGCUAAGGUCCCCAAGUUCCAGCCGAGUGGCAAAGGAUGUGCGUCCGCCCAGACAACCAGGAUGUUGGCUUAGAAGCAGCCAUACAUUCAAAGAGUGCGUAACAGCUCACUGGUCGAGUGGACAUGCGCCGACAAUACACGGGGCUAAGCUGGACACCGAAGCGGCGGGAUUUUAUUUCAUAGAAUCGGUAGGGGAGCUUCCCAUGGGCGGGGAAGCCGCCGGGCGACCGGCGGUGGAGCGCAUGGGAGUGAGAAUGCUGGCAUGAGUAGCGAGAGACGAGAGAGUAACUCGUCCGCCGUGAACCCGAGGUUUCCUGGGCAAGGCUAAUCCUCCCAGGGUCAGUCGGGGGCUAAGGCGAGGCCGGGAGGCGUAGCCGACGCGCAGCAGGCAGACAUUCCUGCACCGCGCACGCGGCGCUACGACCGACGGGGCGACGGAUGGGGGUGGCUCGGCGGGGUUCUGGACGUCCCCGUGAUGGAGCGCGGCCCGCGGACCAGGGAAAUCCGGUCCGCACGAGGGCGAGGCUCCGGACGAAGCAUCUGAGCGAAGCGAGUGAGCCCGAGGUCCCUAGAAAAACCCCUAGGCAGGCGCGUGCGCGCCCGUACCGCAAACCGACACAGGUGGGUGGGUAGAACAUACCGAGGCGAUCGGGGCAACCAUGGUCAAGGAACUCGGCAAAAUGGCCCCGUAACUUCGGGAGAAGGGGUGCCCGCGCGUACGUGAACGGACUUGCUCCGGGAGCGGAGGCGGGCCGCAGUGGAGAGGCCCAAGCGACUGUUUACCAAAAACACAGGACUCUGCAGAAGCCGCAAGGCGACGUAUAGGGUCUGACGCCUGCCCGGUGCCGGAAGGUCACGCGGAGGAGUUAGCGCAUCGCGCGAAGCCCCGAAGCCAAGCCCCGGUAAACGGCGGCCGUAACUAUAACGGUCCUAAGGUAGCGAAAUUCCUUGUCGGGUAAGUUCCGACCUGC
RNAcentral lists this ribosomal RNA (2029 nucleotides) under human gut metagenome. Its description in RNAcentral is "bacterial LSU rRNA". It matches the Rfam family "Bacterial large subunit ribosomal RNA", at positions 1 to 1991 of the family's 2925-position model. The record is from RNAcentral.